CCUACGGGUGGCAGCAGUGAGGAAUAUUGGUCAAUGGCCGGAAGGCUGAACCAGCCAAGUCGCGUGAAGGAAGACGGCCCUACGGGUUGUAAACCUCUUUUGUCAGGGAGCAAGGUGCAGGUCGGGACCUGCUGUGAGAGUACCUGAAGAAAAAGCAUCGGCUAACUCCGUGCCAGCAGCCGCGGUAAUACGGAGGAUGCGAGCGUUAUCCGGAUUUAUUGGGUUUAAAGGGUGCGCAGGCGGAGGCACAAGUCAGCGGUAAAAUCGCGGGGCUCAACCCCGCUCCGCCGUUGAAACUGUGUGCCUUGAGAGGGCGAAGGGUAGGCGGAAUGCGUGGUGUAGCGGUGAAAUGCAUAGAUAUCACGCAGAACUCCGAUCGCGAAGGCAGCCUACCGGCGCGCAACUGACGCUGAUGCACGAAAGCGUGGGUAUCGAACAGGAUUAGAUACCCCAGUAGUC
Molecule: ribosomal RNA, 459 nt
Filed under: uncultured bacterium
Lineage: Bacteria
Description: partial 16S ribosomal RNA
Rfam family: Bacterial small subunit ribosomal RNA
Source: RNAcentral